CCGGCACGGGUGAGUAACACGUAUCCAACCUGCCGUCUACUCUUGGCCAGCCUUCUGAAAGGAAGAUUAAUACAAGAUGGCAUCAUGAGUUCACAUGUUCACAUGAUUAAAGGUAUUCCGGUAGACGAUGGGGUUGCGUUCCAUUAGAUAGUAGGCGGGGUAACGGCCCACCUAGUCUUCGAUGGAUAGGGGUUCUGAGAGGAAGGUCCCCCACAUUGGAACUGAGACACGGUCCAA
This 237-nucleotide ribosomal RNA is filed under the name uncultured bacterium. RNAcentral describes it as "partial 16S ribosomal RNA". It matches the Rfam family "Bacterial small subunit ribosomal RNA", at positions 100 to 334 of the family's 1533-position model. The record is from RNAcentral.